RNAcentral lists this ribosomal RNA (253 nucleotides) under uncultured bacterium. RNAcentral describes it as "partial 16S ribosomal RNA". It matches the Rfam family "Bacterial small subunit ribosomal RNA", at positions 524 to 776 of the family's 1533-position model. The record is from RNAcentral.
AACGUAGGAGACAAACGUUAUCCGGAGUUACUGGGCGUAAAGGGCGUGUAGGUGGUUUCGUAAGUCUGGCGUGAAAUUUUUCGGCUUAACCGGGAAAGGUCGUCGGAUACUGCAGAACUAGAGGACGGUAGAGGCGUGUGGAAUUCCGGGUGUAGUGGUGAAAUGCGUAGAUAUCAGGAGGAACACCGGUGGCGAAGGCGGCUAUCAGGACAGAAACUGACGCUGAGGCGCGAAAGCUAGGGGAGCAAACAGG